RNAcentral lists this ribosomal RNA (266 nucleotides) under uncultured bacterium. Its description in RNAcentral is "partial 16S ribosomal RNA". It matches the Rfam family "Bacterial small subunit ribosomal RNA", at positions 793 to 1055 of the family's 1533-position model. The record is from RNAcentral.
GUCCACGCCGUAAACGAUGAGUGCUGGACGUUGGUGGGCUUGCCCGUCAGUGUCGUAGCUAACGCGAUAAGCACUCCGCCUGGGAAGUACGGCCGCAAGGUUAAAACUCAAAGGAAUUGACGGGGGCCCCGCACAAGCGGUGGAGCAUGUGGUUUAAUUCGACGCAACGCGAAGAACCUUACCAGCCCUUGACAUGGUAGUCGUUGGGUCCAGAGAUGGACUCGUCGGUUCGGCCGGACUACACACAGGUGCUGCAUGGCUGUCGU